Molecule: ribosomal RNA, 301 nt
Filed under: uncultured bacterium
Lineage: Bacteria
Description: partial 16S ribosomal RNA
Rfam family: Bacterial small subunit ribosomal RNA
Source: RNAcentral
AGUCGCCGCGGUAAAACGUAGGUGGCAAGCGUUAUCCGGAAUUAUUGGGCGUAAAGCGCGCGUAGGCGGUUUUUUAAGUCUGAUGUGAAAGCCCACGGCUCAACCGUGGAGGGUCAUUGGAAACUGGAAAACUUGAGUGCAGAAGAGGAAAGUGGAAUUCCAUGUAUAGCGGUGAAAUGCGCAGAGAUAUGGAGGAACACCAGUGGCGAAGGCGACUUUCUGGUCUGUAACUGACGCUGAUGUGCGAAAGCGUGGGGAUCAAACAGGAUUAGAUACCCCUGUAGUCCCUGUCUCUUAUACA